RNAcentral lists this ribosomal RNA (596 nucleotides) under Trichoderma asperellum. RNAcentral's name for it is "eukaryotic LSU rRNA". The stretch from base 206 to 359 matches the Rfam family "5.8S ribosomal RNA". Lineage: Eukaryota; Fungi; Ascomycota; Sordariomycetes; Hypocreales; Hypocreaceae. The record is from RNAcentral.
UGACCUGCGGAGGGAUCAUUACCGAGUUUACAACUCCCAAACCCAAUGUGAACGUUACCAAACUGUUGCCUCGGCGGGGUCACGCCCCGGGUGCGUCGCAGCCCCGGAACCAGGCGCCCGCCGGAGGAACCAACCAAACUCUUUCUGUAGUCCCCUCGCGGACGUAUUUCUUUACAGCUCUGAGCAAAAAUUCAAAAUGAAUCAAAACUUUCAACAACGGAUCUCUUGGUUCUGGCAUCGAUGAAGAACGCAGCGAAAUGCGAUAAGUAAUGUGAAUUGCAGAAUUCAGUGAAUCAUCGAAUCUUUGAACGCACAUUGCGCCCGCCAGUAUUCUGGCGGGCAUGCCUGUCCGAGCGUCAUUUCAACCCUCGAACCCCUCCGGGGGAUCGGCGUUGGGGAUCGGGACCCCUCACACGGGUGCCGGCCCCUAAAUACAGUGGCGGUCUCGCCGCAGCCUCUCCUGCGCAGUAGUUUGCACAACUCGCACCGGGAGCGCGGCGCGUCCACGUCCGUAAAACACCCAACUUUCUGAAAUGUUGACCUCGGAUCAGGUAGGAAUACCCGCUGAACUUAAGCAUAUCAUAGACCGGGAAGAA